UACGGAGGGGGUUAGCGUUGUUCGGAAUUACUGGGCGUAAAGCGCGCGUAGGCGGACUAUUAAGUCAGGGGGUGAAAUCCCGGGGGCUCAAACCCCCGGAACUGCCUUUGAUACUGGUAGUCUUGAGUUCGAGAGAGGUGAGUGGAACUCCGAGUGUAGAGGUGAAAUUCGUAGAUAUUCGGAAGAACACCAGUGGCGAAGGCGGCUCACUGGCUCGAUACUGACGCUGAGGUGCGAAAGUGUGGGGAGCAAACAGGAUUAGAUACCCGGGUAGUCC
This 277-nucleotide ribosomal RNA is filed under the name uncultured bacterium. RNAcentral describes it as "partial 16S ribosomal RNA". It matches the Rfam family "Bacterial small subunit ribosomal RNA", at positions 524 to 796 of the family's 1533-position model. The record is from RNAcentral.